AUGGUGGUCGAUCCUCUGGCUGCCAUCCUUGAUAAGGCCAGGGCUGCGGGCCACAUUAAGGGUAUAGUCCCGCAUCUUGUUGGGGGGAACGGGAUCUCCCUUCUCCAAUAUGCGGAUGACACCAUUAUCAUGGAGGAAGGCUCGGCGAGCGAUAUUUCGAACCUCAAGUUCCUUUUGUUGUGCUUCCAGCAAAUGUCGGUCCUCAGGGUCAACUUCGACAAGAGCGAGGUGAUGGUCUUGGGCUACUCCCAAGACGAGCGUCAGAGUAUUGCGGAUCGGCUUAACUGCCAGCUUGGGAGCUUCCCCACGACAUAUCUGGGGAUACCCAUUAGUGACACUAGGCUCACGGUGGCCGACCUGCGCCCCACGGUGGGGAAGCUUCAGCACCGUAUCAAGCCCUGGCAGGGUCGGUGGCUCUCGAAAGCGGCCCGUACGGUGCUCAUUAAGUCGUCCCUCUCUAGCCCGCUCUUGUUCAUCAUGAGCUUCUACAGCCUUCCGGAGACUCUUCAUCACGAGAUUGCCACUGUUCAGGGGCGUUUCUUCUGGGCUGGUGAGGGCGAUAAG
Molecule: ribosomal RNA, 564 nt
Filed under: Triticum aestivum (bread wheat)
Lineage: Eukaryota; Viridiplantae; Streptophyta; Magnoliopsida; Poales; Poaceae
Description: partial small subunit ribosomal RNA
Source: RNAcentral